Molecule: ribosomal RNA, 484 nt
Filed under: uncultured bacterium
Lineage: Bacteria
Description: partial 16S ribosomal RNA
Rfam family: Bacterial small subunit ribosomal RNA
Source: RNAcentral
AUUGAACGCUGGCGGCAGGCCUAACACAUGCAAGUCGAGCGGAUGAAGGGAGCUUGCUCCUGGAUUCAGCGGCGGACGGGUGAGUAAUGCCUAGGAAUCUGCCUGGUAGUGGGGGAUAACGUCCGGAAACGGGCGCUAAUACCGCAUACGUCCUGAGGGAGAAAGUGGGGGAUCUUCGGACCUCACGCUAUCAGAUGAGCCUAGGUCGGAUUAGCUAGUUGGUGGGGUAAAGGCCUACCCAGGCGACGAUCCGUAACUGGUCUGAGAGGAUGAUCAGUCACACUGGAACUGAGAAACGGUCGAGACUCCUACGGUAGGCAGCAGUGGGGAAUAUUGGACGAUGGGCGAAAGCCUGAUCCAGCCAUGCCGCGUGUGUGCAGAAGGUCUUCGGAUUGUAAAGCACUUUAAGUUGGGAGGAAGGGCAGUACGUUAAUACCUUGCUGUUUUGACGGUACCAACAGAAUAAGCACCGGCUAACUUCGUG